RNAcentral lists this ribosomal RNA (253 nucleotides) under uncultured bacterium. RNAcentral's name for it is "partial 16S ribosomal RNA". It matches the Rfam family "Bacterial small subunit ribosomal RNA", at positions 524 to 776 of the family's 1533-position model. The record is from RNAcentral.
UACGUAGGGUGCGAGCGUUGUCCGGAUUUAUUGGGUUUAAAGGGUGCGUAGGCGGUCUUAUAAGUCAGUGCUGAAAUAUCCCGGCUUAACCGGGAGGGUGGCAUUGAUACUGUAAGACUUGAGUAAAGUUGAGGUGGGCGGAAUUGACGGUGUAGCGGUGAAAUGCUUAGAUAUCGUCAAGAACACCGAUUGCGAAGGCAGCUCACUAAGCUUUAACUGACGCUGAGGCACGAAAGCGUGGGGAGCAAACAGG